GGUUCGCUAGCUCAGUUGGUAGAGCAACGCCCUUUUAAGGCGUGGGUCCAGGGUUCGAGCCCCUGGCGAGCCA
RNAcentral lists this transfer RNA (73 nucleotides) under Oscillospiraceae bacterium. RNAcentral's name for it is "tRNA-Lys". It matches the Rfam family "tRNA". Rfam says of the family: Transfer RNA (tRNA) molecules are approximately 80 nucleotides in length. Their secondary structure includes four short double-helical elements and three loops (D, anti-codon, and T loops). Lineage: Bacteria; Bacillati; Bacillota; Clostridia; Eubacteriales; Oscillospiraceae. The record is from RNAcentral.